Long non-coding RNA from Parus major (Great Tit), 7916 nucleotides. RefSeq lists it as uncharacterized. Lineage: Eukaryota; Metazoa; Chordata; Aves; Passeriformes; Paridae. The record is from RefSeq and is a predicted model, not a curated record. The transcript has 5 exons.
GCUACCACAGGAGAUAUGUUCAUGCUUUGGCCCCAAAAUACACAGAACCCUGUUUUUUCACAUAAAUAGCUUCACUGCCAAUCAUUUCUUGAACAUGCAACUGAAUGAGAUUUGAAUAAUGCUGUUUUGAUCAAGUUUGUACAGUGGUGACAACACCUUUGAGCUAAUAAUGUAUUUGGAGGGACUCCUGCCCUUGAGAGUUUUAAUGAAAAAUAAUUAAAGUGUUAUACCUUUCUUUCAUAUUUUUUAGUUAUUAAUAUCUGUUAAAGAUGUAUUUGAAUAUUAUAGUCUCUGUCAGAUAUGAAUGGAUAUUUGUUAUUUGUUUAAGGAAAGCUUUGUAAUGACUCUCAGGCUCUGUAGACACAGAAAACAAUUUCAAUUUCACCGUAGAAAAUGUAAAGCUCCUUUGGACUGAGUACUGUAUGGUUUAAUGCUACUUUUCCUAUCUAAAAUGUAACUUACCUACUCAAAACUGUAAAGAACUGUAGGUCUAUCAGGUACAAAUGCUACUGAAAAUAUCAGCUUUCAGAAAGCAAUGUUUUCAGGGUACAUAAAACUAAAAAAUUAAGGAUGGAGUUAGUUUGAUCUUAUGCUAUUUGCUGUCUACCUUAUGCUCUGAAGAGUCCAGUUACCUAACUUACUGGAGUUACCUGGUGUAUCCAUCUAUCCAUCUGUCCAUCAGCUUCUUUCAAAGCUUUGCUCCAGAGAAGCCUAGUUUCAUUUGGCGUUUGUUUUACUUUCGAAUUUAACUUCUUUGAUGGUUGAUAAAGCACCAGGAAUGCACUGAUUUACAGUUUGUAUAAGCCUUUAGAAUAAGUACAGCUACAGACUUUGUAAAUCAUGUGUAUCAUAAAUACAUAUGAAUUUCUUGUACGCUGCUUGACGAACAUCUGAAUCCAUUAUACACCUUAUUGCUGAAAGAAGAGUGUGGUUUCUCCUGUUUCCCAGGCCCUCUGCCACACUUACCAAUGGCCAGGACUGUACAAAUUAUGGCAUGGCUACAGACAAAGGAGAAGAUUCUGCCUCUACCACCUGGCCCCAUGUAUAUUGUGGAAAAACAAGGAUUCUAACUGCACUACAGCACAGCCCUAUCCUACCAGCAAAAGGUGCUUCUGGUAUUGAAAGUCGAGCAGAUGAAGCAGACUCUUCCUGAGGGGCUAUCCUCCUGCUCCAAUUUUCUCAAGGGUUCAGAGCAAGCUCCCAGGAGGAGAAAGAGCUCUGGAUCAGCACACUUCUGCUCAGGUCUUGGAUGCCCUUGCUGCUAAACUUCAGCAGAAAUGUGGCCCCUGCAGAAUGACUUCCACCAACCUGGCUAUUUGCAUGGAGCCAAAUCUUUUGAGCCCACCUGAGAUGGACAGGCUCCCCAUGGUGCAGGCGACAGGGAAGGUGAUAUUACCAGCUGACUACAGUCUUCUGAGCCCAGCCAAGCUUCUUUGAUUGCAGAGCACAGCAAUGCAGCCUUCUGUGGGGAAAGUUAUGGAAUAUGGAGUCAAGCCAUCUGAUACAAAAUAAGGCAGCAGAGGACUACAAAGCAUUGUUUUCCUACUAGAGGAGUUUGUUACAGACAACACUAAAACUCUGAAUGGAGACUCAGGUAUCCUUGUCUGUUUGUCUGUCUGUCUCUCUCUCUCUUUUUUGAAAUAAUUAUAUAUGUACCAACAAAGAUAUACUCUAGAAGAAAGCUUAUAGCUGAAAAUUUAUGCAACUAAUUGUCCACAUGGUUCCCAACACGAGACAAUCCAGUCCAGUUAUCUCCUGCAUCAUGGAAUGGGGUUCAUAUCACCUGGCUUACACUACCAAAAUAUGAAUUGUUCCUCUCUCAGCCUGUCAUCCAGACACUUUAUGAUCAGUGUGGAGAGACAGUCACACUGAGGGCAGUGCAGCUGUCCUACAUUGCUAUUCUAGACUGAGAUGAAACAUUGUUUGAAGGCCCUAGUCUGUCUUCAGUGACUGAACAGAGAGAAUAUUUAUGUCCCUGUAUCCAAGCUGGAUUUACAACCAUUAAAGAUAAGUGAUACAAAAUUAUACUCUUGGUCAUUCUAUUACCGAUCACACAAGUGGAUACCUCAUAAGAGUGUUUACGUGAAUUAUUUCCAUUACAACAUUUUAUGCAAAGCCAUCUGAUAUGAAUUAAACAAUCCCACUAUUAGAACAAUGCAAAUGCCUUUCGUUCAGUGUGCAAAGUCUUCCCUUCUCUUCUAAGACUGAAUCUGUUAAAAGUGAAGCAUUUCAUUGUAUUUUCAACUGGAAUGGAGAAGAGCAAAACCUAAAACAUCAGAGGAGUAGAAGCUAAUAUUUGGAGGAAGAUAUACUCUGUAAUACAUUCUUGUAAGUACUUCUUAUUUAUAUCUUGUAAAUACAUCUUUCUCAAGACAUCCAGCUGCCAAGUAUAGCAAAGCAGUGAUGCAUGCUGUGAGAGAUUUUGAGUACAUUUAUUCUUUUAUGCCUUUAUGAUAGAUAAGAAUUAUAGUAGUUAUACAAUUUGAAAAUGCAUUUUCAGCCCUUUAUGUCUCAGAAAGACCAAUAUUGGUAUAAAGAAAUUUAAGUGAGCAGUCUACUAACUGGACCUUCCAGCUGAGCUGGGCUCUCAGCCUAGCUUGUCUCUCUAACCUGCUGCUCUUAGGAGGUCUGGAGGACACAACUCAUAUGCAUGGGAGCUGCAGAGAUCCCACGUGAGUACUUUGAAAAAACUGUCUGCUUCUUCAGACAGCUGGUUUCUGCUCUGACUUACCUUCUGGAAGAACAAAAGGCUUUAAUUGACUACAGAGACAACCUGGUGGUCCUAAACUAAACUUACCUACUAUGAGAUAACUUUACAUACUCUUGUGUGAUGCAAAGAAAAUCCUUAACUAAAGGAAGAUGUGUUAGAGCAGAUGUGUGCCACAAAAAGAGACAAACUGAAGUAAUUAAGGCUGGAAUUCAGCAUCUUAUGGCCAGUGCUGUGGAGUAAUUCCAUUUCUGGCAGACAAAUGUUUUAAUCUGUGUUAGUGUUUGUCUUCAGAAUGAUGUAUACAAUAUGGACUGGGAAGCAUAGAUGUCAAAAUUAUGAGUGACGUAGGCCAAUUUUAAAUUACUAAGCAUCCAUUUUUAUACUGAAGUGUCAAAUGCACAAGCAAUCACAGUGAAACCCAAAGAAAUGCAGGGAAAAGGUAAGCAUUUUUGUAUCAAAUUUGGAAUGUUUUUGGGAUAUUUGUUGAUAUAAGCAUUUGUAUUUGAAGAAUUUCCUUCUACUGGUUAAUGAUGCAACCUGUUCAGAGGUAGCCAGUGAAAAGCAGAAGUAAAGGAUAGAAUGGCCUUUGCACUAUUUGUCCCAAGCUAUUUACAUAUCUGAAGAGUAACUCAAUGGAAGCCAUUCAUAGAGCCUGUCAUUUGGCUCUUUAGUAUCCCAAGAACAUUAUCCCAUGAGUCCUUCAAUCUGUGAAAGAAAAGAGAAGAACAAACAGGAUCAGAGGAAGGGCUCCCUGAGGUCUUUCUGGAGAUCAGGAUCAAUAAAUCUUUAGUACAAAUCUCAAGAACCUUGUGGAGACUUCCAAGCGCAGAGGAGCAUUGCUUUAUUUAUGUUCACAGCCUUUUGUGAGUGUGAUUCAGUCAAUACACCACUUACUAACAUAAACCUAGGUGGACUUCACCUAGCACUAGCUGUUCUUGUGUUGCAUUGAUACCUUAUGCCCUUAAAGAGAGCAGGUCUUCCUUCCUCUCUUCCUGGAGUGGAUCUGCCAUUGGUUUGUUCCAAAGGGCUGCCCAUAUGCUUCUGAUAACAUGAACAUUUUAUGGGCAGUGUUAUGAAUCAAAGCUGGUCUUUAACUGGCAUACUCAGGCAUUGUAUGCUGCAAAAGCAGCUGGUAGUUAUUAGUUCUGCUCUCUACCUAGUGUUGUGGUAAGGUGGCAAUCUUAUUUCCUUAUAUGUUGUUAUUAUUUCCUAUAUUAUGUCAGUGGAGGGUUUGGAUUUCCUUACAAAGGCUUAUGCAUUCUAAUUAGCAAGUUGCAGUUGAUCACAUUUCAGAAUUCCUAUUUCCCUUUUGUUUCUCUUUUUUUUGUUUGUCAGAAAACCAAUGAAGUCGGAAGUUCAGAGGAAGAGGAUACAGAGCAGAAAUCAUAUCAUACUCCUUCAAUCUCAGCUAGGCAGAGAGUAAAAUCAAGCUACUUAAAGAGUCCAAGUCCUUUCAUGGCUCAAGUAUAAUUAAAAACCAAAAAGCCACCAACAAACCCCUCCUUGUUCUUGUUUAACUUUCCCAGCAUUCAGAUUCUGGUUCCCUUACUAGCUUGUGUGGUGGAAGCACGUGUUGACGAGGGUGGCAUUCAUUACUGCAGCCUUCUGACAGUAGACACAGGAUACUUGUGGUCUUCAGACUCUGAGUUUCUUAACAGGCCAGCAGCUGCAGGGAGGUGCAAGGGAGGUGGUGUGGACAAUGGAAGGAUGAGUACAAACGAGUGCAGGAGGAGCAUGCAGGGCACACAUGCUGCUUCUUCAGCUUGACUGGAACACAGGUGAUAUUCUCAGCUCUGGAAGAUGCAGGAGUACAUCCGAAUAUCACUCUGGUUCGACAGAAAAAUCACCAUUGUGGCCACUGGGGAAUGCUUUAAAAAUGGGACUCAAGUUUGUUCAGUGUUAACCAUGGUCCACAAAAAUUAUAGUUACUACAGCUAAAACUACCUCUGUUCAUUUUAAUUCUGCUUAAUGUUCAACUAGGGAAGAUCAGGAUUUCCACCUCAGGCUGCAGUGUGGUCUGCAAUUCCCAAGUCAUUAAAGCUUCACUGAAGUUGUAGUGUUUAACAGAUGCUGCUCCUUUAAUUUCUGGCCAGGUUUCUGAAGAGAUUUUCCUUUCCUUACAAACUCCCACACAGAGACAAGGAAAGUAUAUUGAGAGGUAGAAAUAUUUAUUCUAAAAGAAAAACAAAGGUCUUACAUUCAGUCUAGCAGAAAGCUGAUACAUACAAUGCAUGCUCACUUUCCUGUCAGCUCAAGGAUGGAGAGACCCAUCCUUUGCUGAAUGCCACAGAUAUAAUAAUCCAAAUAUAGUGCUUUUCUUUUGCCAAUUAUUGAGAUGUUUUGCUGCGGUAAGGUAUGUGAAGUUUUGAAUUGUACCCCCAACCAUAAACACUGCACUUAGACCUUUCAAGAAUGCAGUGGCAAUGCCUAUGAGAAUAUUUUUUAUCCAUUUAAUGAGUACCAAAAGCCUCACUUGUUGUUAAUAGGACUUUAUGAGUAGCCAUUGACCUCAGUCUUUCUUGGUGGAUCAUUCAGCUUAAUAGCACUUCUCAAGCUGACCUACUUUGAAGAUGAGCCCCCUGGGGUAACACCCAUUGGUCUUAAUUUUAGAAGUUUGCUAAAUCAAAGUCCAAACCAGUCACCCUAAGCUUCCUAGCAGAGAAAUGAGUAAUUCCAGAGGAUGAUUUAUCUGGCCUAUUUCAGGAUUAAGUGAAUCAGUACCUAGAGUUGCCUGUUGUUGUUAUUUUUUUAGUAUAAAAGUAGCCUGCAAUGACAGGUUUUAGACAUAAAUGUUAGACUUUUAAAUGCCUGAAACAGGAACUUAAACCCUGUCUUGGAUAUCAGCAUCAUCAUUGAAAUACAGAAGCUUAGAGAAUAUGAAAAUACUAAAGUAGAACUAACAGGAUAAAUUUUAUAUUUUUUUAAUUAACGAAUAGUGAAAACACUUUAUGUUUAAAAACCCCUUAAGGCAAGCUUGAUCCCUUUUUUAAAAAGGCAGAUUUUCAGUGGCUUUGCCUUGUUAAUGAGUUACCAAUCUCUGCUCCAACAGGACCAUUAACAAAUCACUUUUUACCAAUUAUUUUUUUCACAAAGGUGAUGAAGUUUCUUAAAAACAUUAAAGAGUUUCUAGUGCUUGCCUAAAUUGUCCAGCCAUAAAUUUCUGCUCAAGGAACCUAAGUACUGAUUUGACAAUCUGUAAAACUGAGAUGGUAGAAACCUCCAGCUAUGAGUAAUCAAAACAUUUUGGGAGAGAUGAUGCUAGAGGGAAUAGAUCUGUUACUGAUACAUGAAAAAGUUUUAAUAAUCAAAGGUGUUUUUAGAUCCUUUGCUCUCUGCUGGAUGUUUCCACACCCUCACUUUCUCUAAAUGCUUGUACACUGCUCAUGUCACCAAGUUACAGAGGGUAAAAUUUUCCUGUGGGUAGAGGGAGAGAAGGAUGAUUAAUUCUUUCCAGCUUUCUUUUUCAGACUGAUUUUUUGGCUGUAUUAACCUAGCAAAAUCAACAACACAAGGCUUUGAAUGUCCAGCCACACCCUUUAAAGGAAGACAGUGCUCCAAAGAACAGACCAUCAAUUGAAGCCCUGGAAACUUGCCGUUUAUAUCCAACCUGACUACUGGUCCAGGGGCUGAGGCACAGCUGCUGAGAGAAGCAGAUGACUUCAUCUGACUUGAGAGCUACACUGGAGCCUUCACACAUGAGCAUCUAUGCCAGAAAACCAGAGGAGUAACUCAAAGAAAUUAAGAAAGAAAGGAUACAGCUCCCUGUACUGUCACAUUGAAUGCCUGUGUGACUUUAUAUGACAUUUGCAUUAUCAUGGAAAUUCUCACUCCUAUCAAUGAAAAUUAUUCUGACCAACAGUGGUGAAUUAAAAUGUAAGCCUAUGCAAGAAUAAUAGUGGUGCUUUUUGUACAGAAAGAGUCCAACAAAAAAGUCCAUUCUAUAUUUGUUUAUGGGUGGGACUUGUAAAUAAUAUGAGUUUAGUCGUUGAUUUAAGAGAGCGGUAUUUUUCCUAUUAAUAUAAAAAUGUCAUUUUCCAGGUUUUGAUAUAUGGUGGUUGGUAUAUUCCAGCAAGAAAGACUGAGGCUGUAUUUAUUUAGUGGUUUUCUAUAUAUGAUUUCAAUGAUUGAACUGAAAACUCAAUUACUGAAUCCCCGUUUUGGGCAUAUAUGCUAGUGGUUUUGACUCCCACAUGUAAGUCACAAGAAUAGGGCUUUUUAAUAAAAUUCAUAUCAUCUGAAAUACAGGAAAUACACAUUUCUUUUACCUUAUCACCAUAAAAAUAGUUUCUAGUCAUGUUUAUUCUGUGUUACAGAAGUAUUACUUCUUCAAUACUGAUGUUGAUUUUACCAGCUUACUAUGCCACAUUAAGUGUUUAGUUCCUGCUUGCUCUGCCUGACUUGUAGCUGGACAGAUUCACUGCUCUUACCUGCCCUUCCAUCUGUCUGGAUGUUUAUAAAUGUUAAUCACAACAGUCCUAUGCUCUGCAUCCUCCAUGAAUAAAUGGAGGAAUGUACCUGGCAGAGCUGUCACACAGCUACACUCACACAUAUAUUCUGUGAAAAUUCCUACCAUAAAAUACACUUUCAUGUGUUUUUUUUAGUGCUAGGGCACCACACAGGUAGUCAGGCAUCUUCAUGACUGGCCAGUGUAAGAUCCUUUAUGGAUAUAUUCCCUAUAUUAGCUGUCUUCUCUUAUUUUCUUCAGCUGCUCCUCUUGUAAUUACAAUAAAAUGAACACCACUAUGUUUUCUUUCUUUAUUUCUCUUUAGCAGCUCCUGGAUUUAUUUUAUUAAGCAGUUCUCUUGAUAUCCAUAAAAGAUAUUUUGCAAAACCCAAGGUUGCCCUCCCCAAAAGCAUAUUAUCAAUACAAUAGAUAGUCUAGAAGUUAUAUUUACCCAUGAUCCUUUUACAACUGAAGCAUAUUUUCUCCUAUAUUUAGGGGAUAAUAAAAAUGGUAAUUUAAAAUCAUUCUGUAUUGAAGAUGAUCCAUUUUCCAGUAUUUCCUGUCCAUAUUAUCUGCAUCCUUCUGCUCAGUCGUGAAAGAAUGGGUUUCAAAGAGACACAGCCCUGGUGGAAAUUCCUCUGUCAAGACAACAUCAUCAAGCUGAUGUUUUUACAACUAUAACUCAAUUCCCUCAAUUUUCUGGCAAGCUAUAACACUGAUAUACCUUUAAAUUGUUGAGUAGCAGGCAGUAAUUUCCACACU